AUGAUCAUUGAUUCAUUGUUAUCUGCUGCAGCUCUCAAAAAUGGGAAGGGGUUCCUGGCCACGAACGUGGGAAUGGAUGGUUCUUUGAUAAAAUCAGAUGCUGACGUAGCCGCACCAAGGAGCAAGUUAAGUUGCAACUUCAGCAGUUAUCGCACGAACAUGUGUGCCAUGCAAGGUGACGUCCGUCUGCACGGCAAAACCGCCACUGUCUACGUGGUCUCAGCGUCCGAUGACAACCGGCCAGACAAUGGGACGGUCGUGAUCCGCCCGUACCCGCGCAAAUGGGAGACACCGACGAUGCAGCUGGUCCGUGGGGUGACCAUCCGUUGGAGAGCCCCACCGGGACCGGGUGCGCCACGGUGCACGGUGACCUACGACAUCCCAGCGGUUGUCUUCUCCACCGGUGGCUACGGCGUCAACAUCUUCCACGCCAUUACCGACAUCAUCAUGCCUCUCUACAACACAGCGCGGGAGUACGAUGGCCGCGUCCGGCUCGUGGCCACUAACUACGACCGCAAAUGGAUCACCAAGUACCGUCACGCCCUCUCCAUGCUCUCCAUCUACCCGAUCAUCGACUUCGACACCGACAACGAGGUGCGCUGCUUCCCGUCGGUGCAUGUCGGAACGGAGAGCCAUAAGGAGCUAGGGAUUGACUCGGCUCUCUCCGGCAAGGGCUACACAAUGCUGGGCUUCCGGGGCCUGCUCCGGUCGGCUUACUCUCUGAAGCGUGAGUGGGUGACCCCCAAAAACGGUGUCAGACCUCGUCUCGUGAUGGUGCUGCGAAGGAACUCGAGGGCGCUGACGAACGAGGCGGAAGUUCUGGCAGCUGGCACCGAGGUUGGCUUCGAGGUGGUAGCUGCGGGGCCGGAGGUGGUGCGCGACCUGGCCAAGUUCGCACAGACGGUGAACUCGUGUGACGUGUUGGUGGGCGUGCACGGUGCGGGGCUCAGCAACAUGGUGUUCCUCCCGCACAACGACACGGUGGUGCAGAUCGUCCCUUGGGGCGAGAUGAAGUGGCCGGCCUGGACCUCCUACGGCGAGCCGGUGGCUCCCAUGGGGCUUCGGUACGUCGAGCAGGAGACCACCGCCGAGGAGACCACGCUCAAGUACGUGUACCCGAGGAACCACACCGUCUUCACCGAUCCCGUCUCCCUACACAAACAGGGAUUCAACAUGUUGUGGGAGACCUUCCUCAAUGGGCAGAACGUCACCCUCGACGUCGACCGCUUCAGAGGGGUCCUGCAACAGAUCUACCGGUCCGUUACCAUCACAUAA
Molecule: ribosomal RNA, 1275 nt
Filed under: Triticum aestivum (bread wheat)
Lineage: Eukaryota; Viridiplantae; Streptophyta; Magnoliopsida; Poales; Poaceae
Description: partial small subunit ribosomal RNA
Source: RNAcentral